This is a non-coding RNA of Hypoxylon sp. CI-4A, 97 nucleotides long. The record is from the annotation of a GenBank genome assembly. Lineage: Eukaryota; Fungi; Ascomycota; Sordariomycetes; Xylariales; Hypoxylaceae.
GCCCUCGUAGCUCAAUGGCUAGAGCGUUGGACUUUUACGAGCAAUUCCGGUCGGCGAAGUCAUCCAAAGGCUGUGGGUUCGAGUCCCACCGGGGGCG